Molecule: ribosomal RNA, 720 nt
Filed under: Salmonella enterica subsp. enterica serovar Typhimurium
Lineage: Bacteria; Pseudomonadati; Pseudomonadota; Gammaproteobacteria; Enterobacterales; Enterobacteriaceae
Description: partial 23S ribosomal RNA
Rfam family: Bacterial large subunit ribosomal RNA
Source: RNAcentral
GCAGUGGGAGCCCCACCACUAAGCCAGUGGUGAACUCCACAUCCGCAUCCUUUGCUGAGGAUACGGUUAACGGAGCGAAAGCGACGUUCAACCGCAAAACAAGCAGAGGGGGCUUAGUGGUGGGGUGACUGCGUACCUUUUGUAUAAUGGGUCAGCGACUUAUAUUCUGUAGCAAGGUUAACCGAAUAGGGGAGCCGGAGGGAAACCGAGUCUUAAUUGGGCGUUAAGUUGCAGGGUAUAGACCCGAAACCCGGUGAUCUAGCCAUGGGCAGGUUGAAGGUUGGGUAACACUAACUGGAGGACCGAACCGACUAAUGUUGAAAAAUUAGCGGAUGACCUGUGGCUGGGGGUGAAAGGCCAAUCAAACCGGGAGAUAGCUGGUUCUCCCCGAAAGCUAUUUAGGUAGCGCCUCGUGAAUUCAUCUCCGGGGGUAGAGCACUGUUUCGGCUAGGGGGCCAUCCCGGCUUACCAACCCGAUGCAAACUGCGAAUACCGGAGAAUGUUAUCACGGGAGACACACGGCGGGUGCUAACGUCCGUCGUGAAGAGGGAAACAACCCAGACCGCCAGCUAAGGUCCCAAAGUCAUGGUUAAGUGGGAAACGAUGUGGGAAGGCCCAGACAGCCAGGAUGUUGGCUUAGAAGCAGCCAUCAUUUAAAGAAAGCGUAAUAGCUCACUGGUCGAGUCGGCCUGCGCGGAAGAUGUAACGGGGCUAAACCAU